RNAcentral lists this ribosomal RNA (2930 nucleotides) under Salmonella enterica subsp. enterica serovar Typhimurium. Its description in RNAcentral is "bacterial LSU rRNA". It matches the Rfam family "Bacterial large subunit ribosomal RNA". Lineage: Bacteria; Pseudomonadati; Pseudomonadota; Gammaproteobacteria; Enterobacterales; Enterobacteriaceae. The record is from RNAcentral.
GGGUUGUGAGGUUAAGCGACUAAGCGUACACGGUGGAUGCCCUGGCAGUCAGAGGCGAUGAAGGGCGUGCUAAUCUGCGAUAAGCGCCGGUAAGGUGAUAUGAACCGUUAUAACCGGCGAUACCCGAAUGGGGAAACCCAGUGUGAUUCGUCACACUAUCAUUAACUGAAUCCAUAGGUUAAUGAGGCGAACCGGGGGAACUGAAACAUCUAAGUACCCCGAGGAAAAGAAAUCAACCGAGAUUCCCCCAGUAGCGGCGAGCGAACGGGGAGGAGCCCAGAGCCUGAAUCAGCAUGUGUGUUAGUGGAAGCGUCUGGAAAGGCGCGCGAUACAGGGUGACAGCCCCGUACACAAAAGCGCAUGUGCUGUGAGCUCGAUGAGUAGGGCGGGACACGUGGUAUCCUGUCUGAAUAUGGGGGGACCAUCCUCCAAGGCUAAAUACUCCUGACUGACCGAUAGUGAACCAGUACCGUGAGGGAAAGGCGAAAAGAACCCCGGCGAGGGGAGUGAAAAAGAACCUGAAACCGUGUACGUACAAGCAGUGGGAGCCCCACCACUAAGCCAGUGGUGAACUCCACAUCCGCAUCCUUUGCUGAGGAUACGGUUAACGGAGCGAAAGCGACGUUCAACCGCAAAACAAGCAGAGGGGGCUUAGUGGUGGGGUGACUGCGUACCUUUUGUAUAAUGGGUCAGCGACUUAUAUUCUGUAGCAAGGUUAACCGAAUAGGGGAGCCGGAGGGAAACCGAGUCUUAAUUGGGCGUUAAGUUGCAGGGUAUAGACCCGAAACCCGGUGAUCUAGCCAUGGGCAGGUUGAAGGUUGGGUAACACUAACUGGAGGACCGAACCGACUAAUGUUGAAAAAUUAGCGGAUGACCUGUGGCUGGGGGUGAAAGGCCAAUCAAACCGGGAGAUAGCUGGUUCUCCCCGAAAGCUAUUUAGGUAGCGCCUCGUGAAUUCAUCUCCGGGGGUAGAGCACUGUUUCGGCUAGGGGGCCAUCCCGGCUUACCAACCCGAUGCAAACUGCGAAUACCGGAGAAUGUUAUCACGGGAGACACACGGCGGGUGCUAACGUCCGUCGUGAAGAGGGAAACAACCCAGACCGCCAGCUAAGGUCCCAAAGUCAUGGUUAAGUGGGAAACGAUGUGGGAAGGCCCAGACAGCCAGGAUGUUGGCUUAGAAGCAGCCAUCAUUUAAAGAAAGCGUAAUAGCUCACUGGUCGAGUCGGCCUGCGCGGAAGAUGUAACGGGGCUAAACCAUGCACCGAAGCUGCGGCAGCGAACGUAUCACUUAAAGCGAUUCAGCGGGUUACGAUUGACGGAGCGAAGCGACGUCAAAGCGUAUACAAAGUCGAGUCGGUUUAAGGAUACGUUCGUUGGGUAGGGGAGCGUUCUGUAAGCCCGUGAAGGUGGCCUGUGAGGGUUGCUGGAGGUAUCAGAAGUGCGAAUGCUGACAUAAGUAACGAUAAAGCGGGUGAAAAGCCCGCUCGCCGGAAGACCAAGGGUUCCUGUCCAACGUUAAUCGGGGCAGGGUGAGUCGACCCCUAAGGCGAGGCCGAAAGGCGUAGUCGAUGGGAAACGGGUUAAUAUUCCCGUACUUGGUGUUACUGCGAAGGGGGGACGGAGAAGGCUAUGUUGGCCGGGCGACGGUUGUCCCGGUUUAAGCGUGUAGGUGUGUGUUCCAGGUAAAUCCGGUUCACUUUAACACUGAGGCGUGACGACGAGGCACUACGGUGCUGAAGCAACAAAUGCCCUGCUUCCAGGAAAAGCCUCUAAGCAUCAGGUAACACGAAAUCGUACCCCAAACCGACACAGGUGGUCAGGUAGAGAAUACCAAGGCGCUUGAGAGAACUCGGGUGAAGGAACUAGGCAAAAUGGUGCCGUAACUUCGGGAGAAGGCACGCUGACACGUAGGUGAAGUGAUUUACUCAUGGAGCUGAAGUCAGUCGAAGAUACCAGCUGGCUGCAACUGUUUAUUAAAAACACAGCACUGUGCAAACACGAAAGUGGACGUAUACGGUGUGACGCCUGCCCGGUGCCGGAAGGUUAAUUGAUGGGGUCAGCGCAAGCGAAGCUCCUGAUCGAAGCCCCGGUAAACGGCGGCCGUAACUAUAACGGUCCUAAGGUAGCGAAAUUCCUUGUCGGGUAAGUUCCGACCUGCACGAAUGGCGUAAUGAUGGCCAGGCUGUCUCCACCCGAGACUCAGUGAAAUUGAACUCGCUGUGAAGAUGCAGUGUACCCGCGGCAAGACGGAAAGACCCCGUGAACCUUUACUAUAGCUUGACACUGAACAUUGAGCCUUGAUGUGUAGGAUAGGUGGGAGGCUUUGAAGUGUGGACGCCAGUCUGCAUGGAGCCGACCUUGAAAUACCACCCUUUAAUGUUUGAUGUUCUAACGUGGACCCGUAAUCCGGGUUGCGGACAGUGUCUGGUGGGUAGUUUGACUGGGGCGGUCUCCUCCUAAAGAGUAACGGAGGAGCACGAAGGUUGGCUAAUCCUGGUCGGACAUCAGGAGGUUAGUGCAAUGGCAUAAGCCAGCUUGACUGCGAGCGUGACGGCGCGAGCAGGUGCGAAAGCAGGUCAUAGUGAUCCGGUGGUUCUGAAUGGAAGGGCCAUCGCUCAACGGAUAAAAGGUACUCCGGGGAUAACAGGCUGAUACCGCCCAAGAGUUCAUAUCGACGGCGGUGUUUGGCACCUCGAUGUCGGCUCAUCACAUCCUGGGGCUGAAGUAGGUCCCAAGGGUAUGGCUGUUCGCCAUUUAAAGUGGUACGCGAGCUGGGUUUAGAACGUCGUGAGACAGUUCGGUCCCUAUCUGCCGUGGGCGCUGGAGAACUGAGGGGGGCUGCUCCUAGUACGAGAGGACCGGAGUGGACGCAUCACUGGUGUUCGGGUUGUCAUGCCAAUGGCACUGCCCGGAAGCGAAGGAAAGGAAGG